Molecule: ribosomal RNA, 546 nt
Filed under: Triticum aestivum (bread wheat)
Lineage: Eukaryota; Viridiplantae; Streptophyta; Magnoliopsida; Poales; Poaceae
Description: partial small subunit ribosomal RNA
Source: RNAcentral
AUGUGCAAAUGGUCUUAUUAUGAGCGGCAUCAAACCCAGACUAGUGCGAUCCUUGAAAGAAUCAGACACGCAUUGGGUCGAGGAACUCGACACCGUACUCUGGGGGCUGCGGACCACGCCGAAUCAUACCACCGGAUACACACCAUUUUUAUGGUGUAUGGCGCAGAAGCAGUGUUGCCCUGCGAUAUAAUUCAUGACUCACCUCGCGUGCGCAUGUAUGAAGAGAAGGAAGCCGAGCUAGAUCAGCAGGGCAACUUAGAUGCUUUGGAGGAGGAGCGUGAUGUCGCUAAAGCCCGUUCCGCAUUCUAUCAGCAACAGGCUCGAAGGUAUCAAAGUAGAGAAGUACGGGCCAAAACUUAUAACAUUGGCGAACUCGUUCUACGCCUACCUGAGAAGAAGAAGGACAAGCUCAAACCCAAGUGGGAGGGUCCCUUCAUCAUUGAUAAAGUUCUCACCGGAGGAGCGUACCGUCUACGCAACGCCUCUGAUAAUAGACUCGAGCUGAACCCAUGGAACGCGGCUAGACUCCGGAGAUUCUACGCCUAG